This 1110-nucleotide long non-coding RNA is filed under the name Bemisia tabaci. Its description in RNAcentral is "lncRNA ENSSSA3NGG010867". The record is from RNAcentral. Lineage: Eukaryota; Metazoa; Arthropoda; Insecta; Hemiptera; Aleyrodidae.
GUCCUUGAUUCAAAAAAAGGUACGGACCCUGUCUUAGAUAACUGGUCCUUCCUUUUUUUAUUAUUCAACCUGGAAAAGUGGUGAAGCUUUUCUUUCCCAUUAGGUGACAAAUUGAGAUCCAGUAAAUUUUCAGUCUAACAAGUAUGUUUUCGUGCUUUAAUACAUAUUUUUGAACUUAUGAACUACUUGUAAAGCUUUUGCUAAAGCUUUUCUUUUACACAGCUUUGUUGAAGCUUUUCUUUCGCAUUAGGUGACAAAUUGAGAUCAAGUAAAUUUUCAAUCUAACAAGUAUGUUUUUGUACUUUAAUACAUAUUUUUGAACUUUUACACUACUUGUAAAGCUACUUUGCUAAAGCUUUUCUUUCACACAGCUUUGUUGAAGCUUUUUAAUCACAUAUGAUAUAAAUACAACAACAAAAAUUGGAUACUUGAAUCGGCGUAUGCAAAAAUGCCCGAUGUCCAAUACAGUGUUUUAGAAUUUAAGCGGAUGAUUUCAUUGUAAGCUAAAGGCACAAGAUAGUCUAAUAUGUUAGGAAAGUAGAACAAUGAUGUAAAGAAUUCCCUAAGUGUACUUAAACGUUUACAAAAGAGAUCGAUCUUAUUCAUCAGUGUUGUAGGGCAAAAGAAACCACUGCAAUUAUGAGACCCUGUGCCUAUUGGACAACGAACAUAUUCGCAUGAGUCGAUUCAAUUGAUGACGAGCUUUCUCUUUUCAAAAUGAAUGCUGCAGAGAGGAAAAUUUCAUCAGUUCAAUAUUGUCGAUGAUUGUCUUGCACACCUUAAGGUGAUCGAUGUGCGCCAUAUUUUGGGACAGAGACAUGCAAUAUAUAGCCUCCAUCGAAUCAACUUAAGAUUUUAGAUUCCGUACCUGUAGGGUACAUAAAGUUCACCAGAUGAAGAUGAAAUGACAUUCGUGGGCAUAAAAUGAGAAAGACAGCUUUGCCUCACAAAGCGGUGCUCUUUUGAAUUAAAAUAUGCAACUUGAUGACAAUGGACAUGGGAAUUAAAAUAUAAUGUUUCUAAAUUUUCACACAAAAAACCAAUAUUGUUGCUUUUAUCUACACAAAUCGCUCUGAUUUGACCAAAUUCUGGAUCAGGAUAAAUUGGCUC